Long non-coding RNA from Dioscorea cayenensis subsp. rotundata (Guinea yam), 879 nucleotides. RefSeq lists it as uncharacterized. The transcript has 4 exons. NCBI's taxonomy places the organism in Eukaryota, Viridiplantae, Streptophyta, Magnoliopsida, Dioscoreales, Dioscoreaceae. The record is from RefSeq and is a predicted model, not a curated record.
UCUCUCUUUGUCUCCCAAAACCCUAGCCCUAAUUUCCAUCCCCGCUCUCCGGCGAGAGAAGAAUUUGAUUGGAGAUUUCGUUGAUCAGUCGAGAGGAGAGUUCGAUUGGAGAUUCCUUUGGUCAAUCGAAUAGCUCCCAUUGGAAACUUUACAUGAUGCUAUUGAAGAUUCACUAGUAUGGCCAGUGCGGAAAAUUGUCCCUAUAAUAACUGGUGAUUAUAGGAAAAUGCAGGCUCCCCAGUUAUUGGGAGGCAUUCGUCACAAGCUAGCCAUUCAACAAACGAUGAACUGAAUUCAAACGAUGCAGGAUGACCACAUAGUGAAAGUUAGUAUGCUAAGGAUGGCAAGUUCUUUUCAGGAGAUUUGUUGAGGAUGCUGCAACAGAAAUGACAUCAUUAUCUUCAUUUACUAUUUUGUUUAUGUUAGUUUCUUAUCUUAUCAUGACAUUAUGUUUUUGGCUAUUAUUAUCUUCUAUUUGAUGAACAAUUAGUGAUUUUCUAUGUUUUUUCCAUUUCUAUAUUGAACUGUAGUGCUUAUAUAAGAUCUGAAUUUAUAUUUUGCUUAACUAGAACUUGUGUUUGAUUGAUCUUUUUAUCUUUUAGUAAUGUUAUGUGUGUGAUUUUUGUUUAUAUAUAACUCUUGAUAUAAGGCAAAGUUUAAUACAUGGUUGAAAAUUGAAUGAUGUUGAAAUGGUCAUGCUCUUGACUUAUUGAUGAUUAGGUAUAUGAAGUACUUUACAUAUAUAUGUUAUUUAUAUUGUUGAUGAUGCAUCUAUAUUGAUUAUCUAUAUACUUGUUUCUAACAUAUAUAUAUAUAUAUAUAUUGUUAAUUAUCUAUAUACUUGUUUGUGAUACAUAGUUGCAGUAGAGAAGGCCAAAG